UUCGUAGGCGGCAUAUCAAGUCUGGUGUUAAAGCCUGGGGCUCAACCCCAGUUCGGCACUGGAUACUGGUAAGCUAGAAUGAGGUAGAGGUAAUGGGAAUUCCUGGUGUAGCGGUGAAAUGCGUAGAUAUCGGGAGGAACACCGGUGGCGUAAGCGCAUUACUGGGCCUUUAUUGACGCUGAGGAACGAAAGCCGGGGGAGCAAAUGGGAUUAGAUACCCCAGUAGUCCCGGCCGUAAACGAUGGAUACUAGGUGUUGCGGGUAUCGACCCCUGCAGUGCCGUAGCUAACGCGAUAAGUAUCCCGCCUGGGGAGUACGCACGCAAGUGUGA
This 331-nucleotide ribosomal RNA is filed under the name uncultured bacterium. Its description in RNAcentral is "bacterial SSU rRNA". It matches the Rfam family "Bacterial small subunit ribosomal RNA", at positions 568 to 897 of the family's 1533-position model. The record is from RNAcentral.